RNAcentral lists this ribosomal RNA (408 nucleotides) under uncultured organism. RNAcentral's name for it is "bacterial LSU rRNA". It matches the Rfam family "Bacterial large subunit ribosomal RNA", at positions 2078 to 2485 of the family's 2925-position model. The record is from RNAcentral.
GGACAGAAAGACCCUAUGAAGCUUUACUGUAGUUUGGAAUUGGGUUCGGGCUCUUCUUGCGCAGCCUAGGUGGGAGGCUAUGAAGAUAAACUUUGGGUUUAUUGGAGCCAACAGUGAGAGACCACUCUAGAGGAGCUAGAAUUCUAAUGGCGUUCCUUGAAGCAGGACGCUUGACAGUUUCAGAUGGGCAGUUUGACUGGGGCGGUCACCUCCUAAAAGGUAACGGAGGUGUGCAAAGGUUCCCUCAGGCUGGACGGAAAUCAGCCGUAGAGUGUAAAGGCAGAAGGGAGCUUGACUGCAAGACCUACAAGUCGAGCAGGGGCGAAAGCCGGCCUUAGUGAUCCGACGGUUCCGAGUGGAAGGGCCGUCGCUAAACGGAUAAAAGUUACUCUAGGGAUAACAGGCUGA